AUUGAACGCUGGCGGCAGGCUUAACACAUGCAAGUCGAGCGGGGUGAUGGUGCUUGCACUAUCACUUAGCGGCGGACGGGUGAGUAAUGCUUAGGAAUCUGCCUAUUAGUGGGGGACAACAUCUCGAAAGGGAUGCUAAUACCGCAUACGUCCUACGGGAGAAAGCAGGGGAUCACUUGUGACCUUGCGCUAAUAGAUGAGCCUAAGUCGGAUUAGCUAGUUGGUGGGGUAAAGGCCUACCAAGGCGACGAUCUGUAGCUGGUCUGAGAGGAUGAUCCGCCACACUGGGACUGAGACACGGCCCAGACUCCGACGGGAGGCAGCAGUGGGGAAUAUUGGACAAUGGGGGGAACCCUGAUCCAGCCAUGCCGCGUGUGUGAAGAAGGCCUUAUGGUUGUAAAGCACUUUAAGCGAGGAGGAGGCUCUUUUGGUUAAUACCCAAGAUGAGUGGACGUUACUCGCAGAAUAAGCACCGGCUAACUCUGUGCCAGCAGCCGCAGUAA
This 503-nucleotide ribosomal RNA is filed under the name uncultured bacterium. RNAcentral's name for it is "partial 16S ribosomal RNA". It matches the Rfam family "Bacterial small subunit ribosomal RNA", at positions 30 to 523 of the family's 1533-position model. The record is from RNAcentral.